AACCAGACUCCUACGGGAGGCAGCAGUGGGGAAUAUUGCACAAUGGGGGAAACCCUGAUGCAGCGACGCCGCGUGAGUGAAGAAGUAUUUCGGUAUGUAAAGCUCUAUCAGCAGGGAAGAAAAUGACGGUACCUGACUAAGAAGCCCCGGCUAACUACGUGCCAGCAGCCGCGGUAAUACGUAGGGGGCAAGCGUUAUCCGGAUUUACUGGGUGUAAAGGGAGCGUAGACGGCAGUGCAAGUCCGGAGUGAAAGCCCGGGGCUCAACCCUGGGACUGCUCUGGAAACUGUAAAGCUGGAGUGCGGGAGGGGCAGGCGGAAUUCCUGGUGUAGCGGUGAAAUGCGUAGAUAUCAGGAGGAACACCGGCGGCGAAGGCGGCCUGCUGGACCGUAACUGACGUUGAGGCUCGAAAGCGUGGGGAGCAAACAGGAUUAGAUACCCCUGUA
RNAcentral lists this ribosomal RNA (446 nucleotides) under uncultured bacterium. Its description in RNAcentral is "bacterial SSU rRNA". It matches the Rfam family "Bacterial small subunit ribosomal RNA", at positions 329 to 792 of the family's 1533-position model. The record is from RNAcentral.